RNA transcript from Pyrus x bretschneideri (Chinese white pear), 2338 nucleotides. RefSeq lists it as uncharacterized. The record is from RefSeq and is a predicted model, not a curated record. NCBI's taxonomy places the organism in Eukaryota, Viridiplantae, Streptophyta, Magnoliopsida, Rosales, Rosaceae. The transcript is spliced from 8 exons.
GAGACUUUCAUUUUCUUUCUUUCUGAGCUGCAGUGGGACGCAGUGAGAGCAUGCCUUUGGCGGAGAGAGAGCGAGCAACCAGAGAGAGAUAGGGAUUUGGUGAGAGGAAGGCAUGCGGUUUGCAGGCAGACAGAAUCACAGGGGGUGUACGGUUCGAGGGAGAGGGAGUGGGAGAGGGAGGAGUAAGGAUCGCUCGCUGAGGGUUUCGCAGUUGGGAGGCCAUGCUGAUGGAGAUAGAGAUAGAGAGAGAUAGGAGAGGGAGAGGGAGACAGGGAGACAGAGACAGAGCGACAGAAAGAGAAGGAAAAGGAAGAGUGGGGAUCUCAGCGCCAUUGCUGCAGAUCCUUGAUCUUCUUCGAUCCCAUCUCCGUGUUCUUCUCAGCCUCUCACAGUCGCAGCAUCACUCGCCCACUCACUCACUCACUCACAGAAAUUCUGAGAUGGUAAGGGUUACGGAAAAAUUGGAAGGUAUAUAGAAAUUCCAAUAUGAGUUCUCCGGCCGAUUUGAGGACAUACGGGCGCACCAACACCUCCAUUUUCCUGCGAAACAUCACCACAGAACCACUACCACUCACUCCGUUCUGCUCAGGACACACUGGCGAAGGCCUUUCACUGUGCAGUGGGUACUGCCACUGUUCAUCGGCUUCUCUUACGAGACUCACUGCUCCCAACCUCGAGAGAGAAGGUGGCAGCAGCAGCAGUGGGAAAGAAGGUCUUUUCCUGUCUCUGCCCUUCGAAUCUCUAGGGUUUGACUUUGGCUCCGUUAGCUGUUGAGGUAAUUAUUAAUCCAUACUUCGAUUGUAAUUUUUUUUUUCCGUAUUCAGUAAGUUUGAUCAAAUGGGUUUCUUUGGACUUGCAUAAGUUGUGUAUAAUAUUGCUUUAAUCAUUUAUUGGGUUCCUUUUGUAUUAUUGAGUCUUGGGUUUUGCUGGAAAUUGUAUAAAUUUUGACCAAAUUGCAUAAAUUAUUGAGCUUUUGUUUGGUAUUUUUAUGGCUACUGUGCUAAUUAGUUCAUACCCAAAAGGGAGCAGAUAAUUAACUGUUCUAAUCACUAAUUCCCCACUCUGAGAACUUGAGACCUUGGACUGAUAUGCAUUUCUGAGAUUUAUUAUUUAUUUUUGUAUAGAAUAUUUAAAGGUGUUAAACUUUUAGUGUAAUUAUAAAGUAUGGCUCUUUGAUUCCAUAUAAAUUGCUGUUUUCAAGAGGGGAGCAUUUACAUGUGGGGGCAACAAGGAGGGGUGUCUGUGAGAAGGUUGGGCUAUCUAUUUUAUUUGUAGUUCUUCAUUUCACUAAAUUAAAUAUGAAUUAUUAAUUUUUCAAUUUUUAAAAUGAAAGAUAAAAGAAAAUCAUAUGUACUUAAUUAUAUAUAUAUAUAUGUGUGUGUGUGUGUGUGUGUAGAUAGUUGCAGAGAAGAAAUGGAGGGAAGUGGGAUGUGUUUUCAUGUUCUCCCCAACACAACAAGUGCUUCAUUUGUGCUGAGGAAACACUACUCAACCCUUCUCUGCCAUUAUGAACAGGCUGAUGCUGAUGGCAACGGAACCAUAGACUAUGAUGAGUUCAUCGCAGCAACAAUGCAUUUGAACUGGAUGGAUAGAGAACAUCUCUACACUACCUUAAAACACUUCGAUAAAGACAGCAGUGGGUAUAUCACGAUGGAAGAACUAGAGCAAGUCCUCCACAAAUAUGGCAUGCAAGGUGAAUUUUAAUCUUUCCAGUUACAACCAUAUCUCACUCCCUUUGGACAAGGAGUUGGACCAUGGAUGUGCUCUCCUUCGUCCAUCCUGUGUCUGCAUGUCCUCAUUCACAAGAUUUCGCACAAAUUGCUUAAACAUUCCAUCUCCCAAACAUCUCAGAUCCCUCACUCAAUUCAAAAGUAUGCUUUUUUGUUGUUUCUUGGUGAAAGAUUGAUCAGCGAUGAUUGCUAUUGUUUAUUCGUGGUUGAUUGAACAUUUUUGUUAUAUGAAACCAUAAAGAAUAGUUGCCUCGAUACUAAGUUUUUUUAUUUCUUGAUGCAUUUAUGUUGAUCAGGCACGAAGGGACCAGUCGAUACGAAGCGUAUCUAUGGGACAAUGGUUGCAACAAAGAAGGGCAGAGCAGGAAGGGAAGGCAAAGUUUGGCAAGAAAACACAAUGAUGUUUUUAAUUACAAGAAAUGUGCAUUUUUUUUCCAGUCAAAUUCUGCUUUUGUUCUGACUAUAUUCCAUACUAUAUGCUGAUUUUAUUUUUUAAUUUUUGGUUUUUCUUUUAUUAGUUGGGGAAUUACAAUCAAAUGAUGAAUCUUUGGAUUACUUGUGUAAGCAUUUUUUCACAUAUAAUUUGGUUGACCAUUUUAAAUGUCAAA